GAUGAACGCUGGCGGCGUGCCUAAUACAUGCAAGUCGAGCGAACAGACGAGGAGCUUGCUCCUCUGACGUUAGCGGCGGACGGGUGAGUAACACGUGGAUAACCUACCUAUAAGACUGGGAUAACUUCGGGAAACCGGAGCUAAUACCGGAUAAUAUAUUGAACCGCAUGGUUCAAUAGUGAAAGACGGUUUUGCUGUCACUUAUAGAUGGAUCCGCGCCGCAUUAGCUAGUUGGUAAGGUAACGGCUUACCAAGGCAACGAUGCGUAGCCGACCUGAGAGGGUGGUAGGCCACACGGGAACUGGGACACGGUCAAGACUCCUACGAGAGGCAGCAGUAGGCAAUCUUCCGCAAUGGGCGAAAGCUUGACGGAGCAACGCCGCGUGAGUGAUGAAGGUCUUCGGAUCGUAAAACUCUGUUAUUAGGGAAGAACAAAUGUGUAAGUAACUAUGCACGUCUUGACGGUACCUAAUCAGAAAGCCACGGCUAACUACGUG
RNAcentral lists this ribosomal RNA (497 nucleotides) under uncultured bacterium. Its description in RNAcentral is "partial 16S ribosomal RNA". It matches the Rfam family "Bacterial small subunit ribosomal RNA", at positions 28 to 507 of the family's 1533-position model. The record is from RNAcentral.